UCUGGGAUUAGAUACCCUGUUAUUUAAAAUGUUUAUUUAUUUACUUGAGUAGUAAUAGUUAUGUUCUUUAAACUUAAAAAAUUUGGCGGUAUUUUAGUCUAUUCAGAGGAACCUGUUUUAUAAUCGAUAAUCCACGAUGUACCUCACUUAAAUUUGUUAAUUAAUUUGUAUACCGUCGUUAUUAGAAUAUUUUAUAAGAAUAAAUAAUUUUCAAUAAUUUUUAUAAAAAUUAAUGUCAGAUCAAGGUGCAGUUUAUGUUUAAGUAAUAAUGGGUUACAAUAAAUUUAUUUAUAUGGAUAUAAUUAUGAAAAAAUUAUUGAAAGUGGAUUUGAUAGUAAAAUUAAAUAGAUUAUUAAUUUGAUUAUAGCUCUAAAAUAUGUACAAAUCGCCCGUCACUCUCUGA
RNAcentral lists this ribosomal RNA (403 nucleotides) under Platypezina diversa. Its description in RNAcentral is "partial 12S ribosomal RNA". The record is from RNAcentral. Lineage: Eukaryota; Metazoa; Arthropoda; Insecta; Diptera; Platypezidae.